GCGGGCAUGGAGAAAUUGGUAAACUCAUUAGACUUAAAAUCUAACGCCUCACGGCUUCCCGGUUCAAGCCCGGGUGCCCGCACCA
RNAcentral lists this transfer RNA (85 nucleotides) under Pseudomonadota bacterium. Its description in RNAcentral is "tRNA-Leu". It matches the Rfam family "tRNA". From Rfam's summary of the family: Transfer RNA (tRNA) molecules are approximately 80 nucleotides in length. Their secondary structure includes four short double-helical elements and three loops (D, anti-codon, and T loops). The record is from RNAcentral. Lineage: Bacteria; Pseudomonadati; Pseudomonadota.